GGUGCCGUUGAGGUAGACGGCCAAGCCUUCGGUGACCCCGAACGUCACCGGUUCCUGUUUGUCGAGCCGUGCCGUCGAUCCUUUCGGCGCGCCGGCCC
This 98-nucleotide transfer RNA is filed under the name Actinoplanes lobatus. RNAcentral describes it as "tRNA-Ser". Lineage: Bacteria; Bacillati; Actinomycetota; Actinomycetes; Micromonosporales; Micromonosporaceae. The record is from RNAcentral.